Molecule: long non-coding RNA, 1460 nt
Organism: Piliocolobus tephrosceles (Ugandan red Colobus)
Lineage: Eukaryota; Metazoa; Chordata; Mammalia; Primates; Cercopithecidae
Source: Ensembl
UGUAUUUAUGUCCAUCCAUCCAUCCAUAUAUAUAUAUAUAUAGUUAUAUCUACAUAAAUACAUACAUAGGAAAAAUAAAAAUGUCAUUAGCUUUUCAUUAAUAUACUAAAAAUGAAUAACAAUAACAAAAAAAAAGGCUAUUAUAAAAAUGGAAAUAAUAAUUUUUUUAAAUCUCCUAAAAAUGUUCAAAAGGAAAGAAACGUAAAUGAUUUUAUGCUUGAAAAUGAAAUAAACAUAGUGAAUAAAAAUAUGAACGACCGUUACGAAAGUAGCAAUAAUAAUAACAAUAACAAUAGUAUUAAUAGUAGUAAUAAUAAAAACAAGAACAGUAAGAAUUUAAAAAACGACAACACUACUGCUCCUACUAGUGUGUAUCGUAAUAGUAACAAUUUAUACUAUAACAAUACAUACAAUACUAGUAAAAAUAGUAGUAACAAUUAUAGUAGCAAUUAUAACAACACAUACAACAAUAAUAAUAACAAUAAUACAUAUUAUAAUAAUAACAAUAAUAGUAACAAUAACAAUAUUAAUAACAAUAAUAAUAAUAAUAAUAAUAGCAAUAUAUACUUUAGUAAUACAUACUACAAUAACAACAACUACAACAAUAACAACAACUAUAACAAUAACAACAACUAUAACAAUAACAACGCAAACAGCUAUAAUGACAAUACAUCUGUACCGGUAACAAAUUACCCAAAAGUUAAAAGCAAUACAAGUAAAAAUGCAAUAAACAAAAAUCACACAAUAAACUCUAUGACAAAUACAAAAGUAAAUAAUACUGUUACGAAUACAUGUAAACCAGUGUAUGGAAAUAUUAAUAAUUCAAAAAAUAUAAAUCGAAAUAAAGGUUCAGUAGAUAAUAAUAAUAAUAAUAAUAAUAAUAGCAAUAAUUAUUUAAAUGCUUUUGGUAAUAAUAAUUUUAAUAGAACAUCCAUGUAUACAAAUCGUAAUAUAUAUAAUGGUGAAACAAUAGAAAAAAGUGUUCAGAAUGAUUUUGAAACUGUUAGUCAUACAUAUAACAAUACCAGUAAUAAUAUCAGUAAUAAUAUCAGUAAUAAUAUCAGUAAUAAUAUCAGUAUUAAUGAUAGUAAUAAUGACAGUAAUAAUGACAGUAAUAAUAAUUAUAACAAUAACAUGAAUAACGAUAAUAGUAAUAACAGUAGCAGUCGUAAUAGUAGUUAUAAUAAUAAUAGUGGUUAUAAUAAAAAUACAUAUAAAGCUUCAAGUGCUGGUUUUUAUAAUUUACGUUUUAGGGAAACUGCAAACACUAAAAAUCAAAACACGUAUAACAAUGCAUCUUAUACAUUAAAAAACAGUAACAAUAAUGAUAUAAGUAACAAUAAAAAGAUGUAUAAGAGCAAUACGGUGUAUAGUGAUACAGAUAAUGUUUAUAACAACAAUAGUAACAACGACAAUAGUAACAAUAACAAUAGUAACAAUAACAAUUAUAACAAUAACAA